This 1474-nucleotide long non-coding RNA is filed under the name Junco hyemalis (dark-eyed junco). Its description in RNAcentral is "lncRNA (ENSJHYG00000015122.1)". Lineage: Eukaryota; Metazoa; Chordata; Aves; Passeriformes; Passerellidae. The record is from RNAcentral.
ACCCCACCAAACCAAACCCAUUCCAAGGCUGGCCAGAGAUGUUCACUACUGGAGGAAACAGGAUGUUUUGCUUCUCUCCCAGGCCUGUGCUCUACCAGUCUGACCUGCUUAUCCUUCUUUCCUUUUCUGCUAUUCAGGAACCAGGGGACAGGGUUCCAGCUGCCUGCUCAGGGUUUCACAGCGAAUCUCAGGAGUUCCUGCAGGAAGCCUGGAUGUCUGUGAAUGGCCUUGGUUCCCUGCAGGGCCUCUCCAGGGCUCCAGAGCUCUACGGCCACAGGAAGCACUGCUGGGGAGGAGGAUUGCUUCCCUGGCUCCCGCAGCUUGGACACCAGCAUGAGGCAGUCAGGAGGGUAAUCAAGGAGAAAGGAAAUAAUCUUUCUGGCCCCCACCAGCAACAGCUUACAGUGGGAAGCAACAGUGGGAAGCCAUUAAAAUGUAGUUAUUGAUGUUGUUAUCAAAAUGUAUUACUAAGAGAAAGGCUCAAAGCUGUCCACUGAUCUUUAUACCAUGACUCUGUGACAAAAAAGCUUCCAAAGCAUUCAGUGAACGCUGACCUCCCUGCUUACCUUGGCAAGUAUUUCUUUUCCACUGUCUUUGGGCACAGGAAGCUCCAAGUGGUAAAAACCAACAGGUACACAGAGGCAGGAGUGCUGAAGGAGUGUUGGAAGGGUAGAUGGACUGAUGCUGUCCUCUGAUGGAUUCAUUGCCCAGGUUCAUGUGUUUAUAUAAAACCUGCAAUGCUGUUCAUAGCCUCUCAUAGCAGUGGAAUUGGUGGGAGAGCAGCUCUGGGACAAGCACUUCCAGUUCAAUCAAUCUUUGCCUUCCUUUGCUUUGCCAAGUUGCACAAAGUCAUUGGUUCAAGGUCAGUUUCUGUGUGCUUCAUAAAGUGUCCCCAAACCAGCUCUGACACAGCCUCAAUCAGAUCUUUGCUACAGAGCAGCACCACAGUGUGAUGAAGGAAGUAGAACAAACCCAAAUAUCUGAACCUUCAGAAGCUACUUUAGGAAAAAAAGAAAAAAAAGAAAAAAGAAAAAGAAAAAAAGAAAAACAAAUGAAAAAAACCAAACCACAAAACCAAACAUACAAAAAAGUCACCUUUAAAAUCCCCUUGAUGAAUUUCAGGUCACAGCCUAUUGGUGGCUCACUUUGUGCCAGUCAGGGUUUUACAUUUCCUCCACCAAGAAGGAAAACCUUUCCACCACCAAAGUUGAUGCCAAAACCUAAACCUCUGGCCAAAGCUAUUUUCCCUAAAAUAACAUCUCCUUUGCUUACUCUUUUAUAAAGCAACUCCUUAACUGCUUUCAGAAAUAUUCUGGGCAUUUGCUUCUCUCUGGUGUAUUUUAAUUUGCCCUUUUUAUCUCUGUGUUGUUUUUCAGCAUUCUUUCCUCAGUUAGCUGUUCACAUUUGAUCCUCAUAAUUCCCUGGAUGUUUUCAUUAUAAUAAAAAAAAAAAAAAAAAAAAAAAGAAAUAACGA